GAUUACCCGCUGAACUUAAGCAUAUCAAUAAGCGGAGGAAAAGAAAAUAACAAUGAUUUCCCUAGUAACGGCGAGUGAAGAGGAAAGAGCUCAAAG
RNAcentral lists this ribosomal RNA (96 nucleotides) under Rhizopus arrhizus. Its description in RNAcentral is "Rhizopus oryzae partial 28S ribosomal RNA". It matches the Rfam family "Eukaryotic large subunit ribosomal RNA", at positions 19 to 114 of the family's 3401-position model. Lineage: Eukaryota; Fungi; Mucoromycota; Mucoromycetes; Mucorales; Rhizopodaceae. The record is from RNAcentral.